UACAGGGGGUGCAAACGUUGCUCGGAAUCAUUGGGCGUAAAGCGCACGUAGGCGGUCUGUUAUGUCGGAUGUGAAAGCCCUUGGCUCAACUGAGGAAGUGCAUCCGAAACUGGCAGGCUAGAGUACUAAAGAGGAUCGCGGAAUUCCCGGUGUAGAGGUGAAAUUCGUAGAUAUCGGGAGGAACACCGGUGGCGAAGGCGGUUUCCUGGCCGAGUACUGACGCUGAGGCACGAAAGCGUGGGGAGCGAACGGG
RNAcentral lists this ribosomal RNA (253 nucleotides) under uncultured bacterium. RNAcentral describes it as "partial 16S ribosomal RNA". It matches the Rfam family "Bacterial small subunit ribosomal RNA", at positions 524 to 776 of the family's 1533-position model. The record is from RNAcentral.